Molecule: ribosomal RNA, 253 nt
Filed under: uncultured bacterium
Lineage: Bacteria
Description: partial 16S ribosomal RNA
Rfam family: Bacterial small subunit ribosomal RNA
Source: RNAcentral
UACGGGGGGGGCAAGCGUUGUUCGGAAUUACUGGGCGUAAAGGGCUCGUAGGCGGCCAUCUAAGUCCGACGUGAAAUCCCUCGGCUCAACCGAGGAACUGCGUCGGAGACUGAGUGGCUUGAAUCCAAGAGAGGGAUGCGGAAUUCCAGGUGUAGCGGUGAAAUGCGUAGAUAUCUGGAGGAACACCGGUGGCGAAGGCGGCAUCCUGGAUUGGCAUUGACGCUGAGGAGCGAAAGCCAGGGGAGCAAACGGG